GCGGGCGUGGCGGAAUUGGCAGACGCGCUGGAUUUAGGUUCCAGUGGGUUCAUCCCCGUGCAGGUUCGAUUCCUGUCGCCCGCA
Molecule: transfer RNA, 84 nt
Filed under: Phycisphaerae bacterium
Lineage: Bacteria; Pseudomonadati; Planctomycetota; Phycisphaerae
Description: tRNA-Leu
Rfam family: tRNA
About the family: Transfer RNA (tRNA) molecules are approximately 80 nucleotides in length. Their secondary structure includes four short double-helical elements and three loops (D, anti-codon, and T loops). Further hydrogen bonds mediate the characteristic L-shaped molecular structure. tRNAs have two regions of fundamental functional importance: the anti-codon, which is responsible for specific mRNA codon recognition, and the 3' end, to which the tRNAs corresponding amino acid is attached (by aminoacyl-tRNA synthetases). tRNAs cope with the degeneracy of the genetic code in two manners: having more than one tRNA (with a specific anti-codon) for a particular amino acid; and 'wobble' base-pairing, i.e. permitting non-standard base-pairing at the 3rd anti-codon position.
Source: RNAcentral